RNAcentral lists this ribosomal RNA (489 nucleotides) under uncultured bacterium. RNAcentral's name for it is "bacterial SSU rRNA". It matches the Rfam family "Bacterial small subunit ribosomal RNA", at positions 28 to 507 of the family's 1533-position model. The record is from RNAcentral.
GAUGAACGCUAGCGGGAGGCUUAACACAUGCAAGUCGAGGGGCAGCAUAGGGUAGCAAUACUCUGAUGGCGACCGGCAAACGGGUGAGUAACGCGUAUGUAACCUACCCUGUACAGGGGGAUAACCCGGAGAAAUUCGGACUAAUAUCCCAUAACAAUAUCCGGGGGCAUCUUUGGAUAUUUAAAGUUCCGGCGGUACGGGAUGGGCAUGCGUAACAUUAGCUAGUUGGUAAGGUAACGGCUUACCAAGGCUUUGAUGUUUAGGGGUCCUGAGAGGGUGGUCCCCCACACUGGUACUGAGACACGGACCAGACUCCUACGGGAGGCAGCAGUGAGGAAUAUUGGUCAAUGGGCGGAAGCCUGAACCAGCCAUGCCGCGUGCAGGAUGACGGCCCUACGGGUUGUAAACUGCUUUUCCCCGGGGCGAAUAACCCCCUCGCGAGGGGGAGUGGCCGGUACCGGGGGAAGUAAGGAGUCGGCUAACUCCGUG